RNAcentral lists this long non-coding RNA (217 nucleotides) under Solanum tuberosum (potato). Its description in RNAcentral is "long non-coding RNA (STUB_LNC004569)". Lineage: Eukaryota; Viridiplantae; Streptophyta; Magnoliopsida; Solanales; Solanaceae. The record is from RNAcentral.
UUACCAAGAAAACAUUUCAUAAUAAAAAAAAAAUAGCAAGCGGAAGACUUUCUAGACUUUAUACAUGAUGUCUCAAAACCAUCUAAUACUUUAGAGAACAAAAUUCGGGACUAAUCCCAUACACAACUUAAACAAUACUAGAAAUACAUCAAAGGAAACAUGUAGGGUAUUGCCCUCGAAUCUAUGAGGACUCACCAAGUCUUCAUCUCCAACGCUU